UUCGCCCUUAGAGUUUGAUCCUGGCUCAGGACGAACGCUGGCGGCGCGCCUAACACAUGCAAGUCGAACGAGCGAGAGAGAGCUUGCUUUCUCGAGCGAGUGGCGAACGGGUGAGUAACGCGUGAGGAACCUGCCUCAAAGAGGGGGACAACAGUUGGAAACGACUGCUAAUACCGCAUAAGCCCACGGCUCGGCAUCGAGCAGAGGGAAAAGGAGCAAUCCGCUUUGAGAUGGCCUCGCGUCCGAUUAGCUAGUUGGUGAGGUAACGGCCCACCAAGGCGACGAUCGGUAGCCGGACUGAGAGGUUGAACGGCCACAUUGGGACUGAGACACGGCCCAGACUCCUACGGGAGGCAGCAGUGGGGAAUAUUGCACAAUGGGGGAAACCCUGAUGCAGCGACGCCGCGUGGAGGAAGAAGGUCUUCGGAUUGUAAACUCCUGUUGUUGGGGAAGAUAAUGACGGUACCCAACAAGGAAGUGACGGCUAACUACGUGCCAGCAGCCGCGGUAAAACGUAGGUCACAAGCGUUGUCCGGAAUUACUGGGUGUAAAGGGAGCGCAGGCGGGAAGACAAGUUGGAAGUGAAAUCUAUGGGCUCAACCCAUAAACUGCUUUCAAAACUGUUUUUCUUGAGUAGUGCAGAGGUAGGCGGAAUUCCCGGUGUAGCGGUGGAGUGCGUAGAUAUCGGGAGGAACACCAGUGGCGAAGGCGGCCUACUGGGCACCAACUGACGCUGAGGCUCGAAAGUGCGGGUAGCAAACAGGAUUAGAAUACCCUGGUAGUCCACACCGUAAACGAUGAUUACUAGGUGUUGGAGGAUUGACCCCUUCAGUGCCGCAGUUAACACAAUAAGUAAUCCACCUGGGGAGUACGACCGCAAGGUUGAAACUCAAAGGAAUUGACGGGGGCCCGCACAAGCAGUGGAGUAUGUGGUUUAAUUCGACGCAACGCGAAGAACCCUACCAAGUCUUGACAUCCCUUGACAGACAUAGAAAUAUGUAAUCUCUUCGGAGCAAGGAGACAGGUGGUGCAUGGUUGUCGUCAGCUCGUGUCGUGAGAUGUUGGGUUAAGUCCCGCAACGAGCGCAACCCUUAUGGUCAGUUACUACGCAAGAGGACUCUGGCCAGACUGCCGUUGACAAAACGGAGGAAGGUGGGGAUGACGUCAAAUCAUCAUGCCCUUUAUGACUUGGGCUACACACGUACUACAAUGGCGUUAAACAAAGAGAAGCAAGACCGCGAGGUGGAGCAAAACUCAGAAACAACGUCCCAGUUCGGACUGCAGGCUGCAACUCGCCUGCACGAAGUCGGAAUUGCUAGUAAUCGUGGAUCAGCAUGCCACGGUGAAUACGUUCCCGGGCCUUGUACUCACCGCCCGUCA
This 1380-nucleotide ribosomal RNA is filed under the name uncultured bacterium. RNAcentral's name for it is "16S ribosomal RNA". It matches the Rfam family "Bacterial small subunit ribosomal RNA". The record is from RNAcentral.